UACAUAGGGUGCGAGCGUUAAUCGGAAUAACUGGGCGUAAAGCGUGCGCAGGCGGUUUGCCAAGUCAGAUGUGAAAGCCCCGGGCUCAAACUGGGAACUGCGUUUGAAACUGGCAAGCUAGAGUUUGGCAGAGGGGGGUAGAAUUCCACGUGUAGCAGUGAAAUGCGUAGAUAUGUGGAGGAAUACCGAUGGCGAAGGCAGCCCCCUGGGUCAAAACUGACGCUCAUGCACGAAAGCGUGGGGAGCAAACAGG
Molecule: unclassified non-coding RNA, 253 nt
Filed under: uncultured Gammaproteobacteria bacterium
Lineage: Bacteria; Pseudomonadati; Pseudomonadota; Gammaproteobacteria
Description: contains 16S-23S intergenic spacer region
Rfam family: Bacterial small subunit ribosomal RNA
Source: RNAcentral